Molecule: ribosomal RNA, 496 nt
Filed under: uncultured bacterium
Lineage: Bacteria
Description: partial 16S ribosomal RNA
Rfam family: Bacterial small subunit ribosomal RNA
Source: RNAcentral
AUGCACGCUGGCGGCGUGCCUAAUCCCUGCAAGUCGCGCGAACAGACGAGGAGCUUACUCCUCUGACGUUAGCGGCGGACGGGUGAGUAACACGUGGAUAACCUACCUAUAAGACUGGGAUAACUUCGGGAAACCGGAGCUAAUACCGGAUAACAUGUUGAACCGCAUGGUUCAACAGUGAAAGACGGUCUUGCUGUCACUUAUAGAUGGAUCCGCGUCGCAUUAGCUAGUUGGUAAGGUAACGGCUUACCAAGGCAACGAUGCGUAGCCGACCUGAGAGGGUGAUCGGCCACACUGGAACUGAGACACGGUCCAGACUCCUACGGGAGGCAGCAGUAGGGAAUCUUCCGCAAUGGGCGAAAGCCUGACGGAGCAACGCCGCGUGAGUGAAGAAGGUCUUCGGAUCGUAAAACUCUGUUAUUAGGGAAGAACAAAUGUGUAAGUAACUAUGCACGUCUUGACGGUACCUAAUCAGAAAGCCACGGCUAACUACGUG